CUGGCGGCGUGCCUAAUACAUGCAAGUCGAGCGAACGGACGAGAAGCUUGCUUCUCUGAUGUUAGCGGCGGACGGGUGAGUAACACGUGGAUAACCUACCUAUAAGACUGGGAUAACUUCGGGAAACCGGAGCUAAUACCGGAUAAUAUUUUGAACCGCAUGGUUCAAAAGUGAAAGACGGUCUUGCUGUCACUUAUAGAUGGAUCCGCGCUGCAUUAGCUAGUUGGUAAGGUAACGGCUUACCAAGGCAACGAUGCAUAGCCGACCUGAGAGGGUGAUCGGCCACACUGGAACUGAGACACGGUCCAGACUCCUACGGGAGGCAGCAGUAGGGAAUCUUCCGCAAUGGGCGAAAGCCUGACGGAGCAACGCCGCGUGAGUGAUGAAGGUCUUCGGAUCGUAAAACUCUGUUAUUAGGGAAGAACAUAUGUGUAAGUAACUGUGCACAUCUUGACGGUACCUAAUCAGAAAGCCACGGCUAACUACGUGCCAGCAGCCGCGGUAAUACGUAGGUGGCAAGCGUUAUCCGGAAUUAUUGGGCGUAAAGCGCGCGUAGGCGGUUUUUUAAGUCUGAUGUGAAAGCCCACGGCUCAACCGUGGAGGGUCAUUGGAAACUGGAAAACUUGAGUGCAGAAGAGGAAAGUGGAAUUCCAUGUGUAGCGGUGAAAUGCGCAGAGAUAUGGAGGAACACCAGUGGCGAAGGCGACUUUCUGGUCUGUAACUGACGCUGAUGUGCGAAAGCGUGGGGAUCAAACAGGAUUAGAUACCCUGGUAGUCCACGCCGUAAACGAUGAGUGCUAAGUGUUAGGGGGUUUCCGCCCCUUAGUGCUGCAGCUAACGCAUUAAGCACUCCGCCUGGGGAGUACGACCGCAAGGUUGAAACUCAAAGGAAUUGACGGGGACCCGCACAAGCGGUGGAGCAUGUGGUUUAAUUCGAAGCAACGCGAAGAACCUUACCAAAUCUUGACAUCCUUUGACAACUCUAGAGAUAGAGCCUUCCCCUUCGGGGGACAAAGUGACAGGUGGUGCAUGGUUGUCGUCAGCUCGUGUCGUGAGAUGUUGGGUUAAGUCCCGCAACGAGCGCAACCCUUAAGCUUAGUUGCCAUCAUUAAGUUGGGCACUCUAAGUUGACUGCCGGUGACAAACCGGAGGAAGGUGGGGAUGACGUCAAAUCAUCAUGCCCCUUAUGAUUUGGGCUACACACGUGCUACAAUGGACAAUACAAAGGGCAGCGAAACCGCGAGGUCAAGCAAAUCCCAUAAAGUUGUUCUCAGUUCGGAUUGUAGUCUGCAACUCGACUACAUGAAGCUGGAAUCGCUAGUAAUCGUAGAUCAGCAUGCUACGGUGAAUACGUUCCCGGGUCUUGUACACACCGCCCGUCACACCACGAGAGUUUGUAACACCCGAAGCCGGUGGAGUAACCUUUUAGGAGCUAGCCGUCGAAGGUGGGACAAAUGAUUGGGGUGAAG
Molecule: ribosomal RNA, 1469 nt
Filed under: uncultured organism
Description: 16S ribosomal RNA
Rfam family: Bacterial small subunit ribosomal RNA
Source: RNAcentral